GACGAACGCUGGCGGCGUGCCUAAUACAUGCAAGUUGAGCGCUGAAGGUUGGUACUUGUACCAACUGGAUGAGCAGCGAACGGGUGAGUAACGCGUGGGGAAUCUGCCUUUGAGCGGGGGACAACAUUUGGAAACGAAUGCUAAUACCGCAUAAAAACUUUAAACACAAGUUUUAAGUUUGAAAGAUGCAAUUGCAUCACUCAAAGAUGAUCCCGCGUUGUAUUAGCUAGUUGGUGAGGUAAAGGCUCACCAAGGCGAUGAUACAUAGCCGACCUGAGAGGGUGAUCGGCCACAUUGGGACUGAGACACGGCCCAAACUCCUACGGGAGGCAGCAGUAGGGGAUCUUCGGCAAUGGACGGAAGUCUGACCGAGCAACGCCGCGUGAGUGAAGAAGGUUUUCGGAUCGUAAAACUCUGUUGGUAGAGAAGAACGUUGGUGAGAGUGGAAAGCUCAUCAAGUGACGGUAACUACCCAGAAAGGGACGGCUAACUACGUG
This 497-nucleotide ribosomal RNA is filed under the name uncultured bacterium. RNAcentral describes it as "partial 16S ribosomal RNA". It matches the Rfam family "Bacterial small subunit ribosomal RNA", at positions 28 to 507 of the family's 1533-position model. The record is from RNAcentral.